GGUUGGCCUGAGAAUGAUUUUUUUUUCUGAUUUUUUUUUAGUUCAGUUUCUGAGAGAUCCUCCAGCUCCCUCUGACAUUCCUGUAAGCUGAGAUUUCAGCUCUGUUGGGAGAASCCUUCAUCCUGUUCCCGGUUGGCAGAAGGAUUUGUCACACAGCAAGGGACACAGCUGGGCCCUGAAAGACAAGCUGGGUGGAGAGCACAGGCAGAGUUGGCUCUGACUUGCCAGUGAAAGAAAGCCUUGCAUUUGCCAGAAUGCUUUCAGAUUGUCAUCUUUGCCAGCCAAAGCAGUCUCUUCUUGUCUGCUUCCAAGAAGCAUGAGCUUAAACAACUGGUCUCAGAGUGGGGUGUAUCUACAGUCUUAGCCAUGAGGAGAGGUGAUGAAAUGUUCUCCUCUUCAGUAUAUGCAGAAGAGACUGGAGCUUAGCUCCUAUCUUCAUAACAGUAAAACUACAGUGAAAUCUGAAUUCUUUGUUCAUGUUUCACUGCCUACUUUGAGGAAAACAGUGAUCAUGAGAUCAGACGUCAGCCUCAGGGAAGGACUACUUUGCAUUCAGGAAGUUGCUCGUUUUGUGAUUAGCAUCACCAUGGCCCCGGAGGGAAGGGAUGGCACUGUCUGGAUAGAUUUCAGAUCUGCUGAGGGAACUUGCACCUGA
This 655-nucleotide long non-coding RNA is filed under the name Dromaius novaehollandiae (emu). Its description in RNAcentral is "lncRNA (ENSDNVG00000017965.1)". Lineage: Eukaryota; Metazoa; Chordata; Aves; Casuariiformes; Dromaiidae. The record is from RNAcentral.